CCUACGGGAGGCAGCAGUGAGGAAUAUUGGUCAAUGGACGAGGGUCUGAACCAGCCAAGUAGCGUGAAGGAUGACUGCCCUAUGGGUUGUAAACUUCUUUUAUAAAGGAAUAAAACGAGGCACGUGUGCCUUUUUGCAUGUACUUUAUGAAUAAGGAUCGGCUAACUCCGUGCCAGCAGCCGCGGUAAUACGGAGGAUCCGAGCGUUAUCCGGAUUUAUUGGGUUUAAAGGGAGCGUAGAUGGGUUUUUAAGUCAGUUGUGAAAGUUUGCGGCUCAAACGUAAAAUUGCAAUUGAUACUGGAAGUCUUGAGUACAGUUGAGGUAGGCAGAAUUCGUGGUGUAGCGGUGAAAUGCUUAGAUAUCACGAAGAACCCCGAUUGCGAAGGCAGCUUACUAAACUGUGACUGACAUUGAUGCUCGAAAGUGUGGGUAUCAAACAGGAUUAGAUACCCGUGUAGUC
RNAcentral lists this ribosomal RNA (460 nucleotides) under uncultured bacterium. RNAcentral's name for it is "partial 16S ribosomal RNA". It matches the Rfam family "Bacterial small subunit ribosomal RNA", at positions 338 to 795 of the family's 1533-position model. The record is from RNAcentral.